GAAUGGCCAUUCCCGACCCACCCCCCGGAAUCAGAAUCCCAUUCCCGCUAUCUAAUAUAAAAAAACCAAAAUGACAAAAAAAUCCAACUUUCUCAUCCUUUUGUCGCUCCCUCCUCCAGCAAAAGUUCGAAGUACUGAUCUGAAUCGAAACUCCGGCGAAAAUGACGACGAGUUUUUCCGCUGUAGACCAGGCCAGACCAAACCGCAACAAGGUAUGCUUUCCUCGAUUUUCCUUUGUAUGAAAUGCAUGUUAAAUUUAGCAUCUCUUCUUUCAAAUAUUUAAAUGUGCUUUAAUUUUUUUCCCAAUUUCAGUUUGGAAUGCAUCCUUAUGUGAGUAGAGUUAUUUGGUUGUUAGUUUUGUAUGGUGUUUGAAUUUUUCUAUGUUUAUUUUGUUGUUUGCCCGAUUUAGCUCUAUCUUUGUAGCUAAUAAGUCUGAAAGAUCUCUAUCAAGUUUAUUAAAGUACAAUAACAUUCUAAUAUAAUUUCAAAUUAGAUAGAAGUCUGAUUAAACAUGAAUAGUGACAAUAGAAAGCAAGAGUUUGAAAUCAACAAAUCAGAAACAAUAGCAAAAGUUUCAUAAACAAAAUCUCAUGUACUAGAGUCCAGUAAUGGGCUUUCUUCAGAGAAAAUGUCAAAGAAAAAAAACAAAGAAAAAGAAAUUAGGACCUUUUAGACUAUGCUCAUGCUGUGCAUUGCCAAUGGCAGGCAAGCACAGAUCGGAGGGGAUCAUGUCAAAUUGGGUGUUGGAUGAAAAAAUUCUGCCAAAUCAUAUAAGUGCUGAUUUGGAGUUUGAAAUCCAAGCAAAGUCAGUAGUCUUAUGUUGCCAACCCUAAAGAAUUGUUAGAAGGUACUAGUGAGAAUGACAAGAAAGAUGACUAGCAAUCAUCUGUGAGAAAUAUAAAAAAGAACGAGAAAAGAAAAAAGAAAAAAAAAAUCCAUUACCACCCAAUUGCACCUCCACUCUUUAGAUCAGCACACACCAACAACCAAUUAUAGCAACCAUUUGAAAGCAAAACCCAAACUCCACUCCAAAUCCCAGCAUUAUAACAUUCUUUCAAAAUUUGUUAGUAGUUAUUACAUCCAUCAACAAGGUUGAAAUUGAUACAACCAAUAGAAUAGUUGAUUCUUACCACAAACCAACAACUUGGGAGUUGGGUCAAAUUACAGAUAGUGAGUAUUUGAGUGAUAUGUUUCUUUGCAUGCAUUAAAGCCCAAAUAAGCCUUUAGUUCAGAUCACAGAAGUUAAUUGGGCCUUCAACCAACAAAGGUGAUCUAUUUCAUUUGUGCCUCUCCAAUAUUUUCUAAGGAUGGUAGGAUCCUUAGAACUAGUGUUUGCAGAUUCAGGUGUUGACAUUGAAUAUACGAAGAGCAUUUGUGCCAUCAAAGAUCUAGACAUACUCAUGAUUUCCCAUUAUUGUGGCCAUGCUGCUUUGAUGUGAUGGAUCACCUUAUUUGCUAUAAAUUUUCAUUUGAGGGCCUGUGUUUUUAAUCUACAGUGUGGUGGGUUGACUACUUGGAUGAAAGAGUUUCCAUGUUUUCAGACAUUUCUGCCAAGGCUUAUAUUGCUUUCUUGGCAUUGGGAUUUCUCUCAACUUUAUCUGAAGUGGCAAAAAUGGAGGGGCAGGACAAAGGGUAGAAAUUCAAAUUUUGUAUCAAGUAGGAAGGGAUGCAAAUUUUAAAGUUGUCAUGACAAUCAUGAUUAGGCAUCACAAGCCACAAAUUUUUGGAACAAUUGCUCUUGAGCCUUGGUUUUUUCUGACCAAUUCUCUAGACCAACCCAAUCCUAACUAACCAGCUCCGGUUCCAAGGCUUCAACCUAAAUCAAAACCAAAUCAAAUCAGCUUGUAGUGGUUAUAGUGAUUUUACCUGAAACUUGAGUUUACUUGGCUUAGCAGGGCUUAUCUAGAUUGCUUCCUUCCCUCUACCAAAAUUCUCAUAUAUGCACAUGUCUAAAGACAAUAAUCAACAUUAUUUAAAUUUUUUUUUCAGUAAAUCAACAUAGUUGAUAUAAGAGACACUCAAAAAACAUUAGAUCAAAAUGAGUGAAUGUAGUUUUCAGGAUAUAGCAUUUCUAAUAGAAAACCAAGUUAGGCUCUUCCUCUCUUGAGAGGCACCUCAGUGCUUGGUUCAAAUUCCAGUCUUUUACAUUUUCUCCACUUCCACCUGUAUGGUUUUACUUUCCGCCAAUGGGUCCUUUAAUUGAAAGAACCUCACAAAUUGACAGGUGUCAAUGGAAACAUACUUAAAUUUUGAUUCAAUUUUUGUAUAAAUGUUUGUGCCAUAUUUCUUAUCAGGUUUCUUCAUAUUAUUGGUGCAACUGAAUUAAUAAAAAAUGCUACUACAAUUAAAGAUGAGAUGUUGUAGCUAGAGGAAGCCAGAAGGUUUCACAUUUCCUUGUAUUCACAGCUUCUAGCGGAAAGGAUUUUUCAGUUCUAGUCUCCAAGACCAAGGACACAACAGUAGCAGAAACAAUGGACUACACUGACCUUCCACACUCUCAGAUAAGAAAAGUCACAGCUUCAUGCUUGCUACUUUCAAAACAAACUAUUCCUCAUUACUAAUUGACAGUGGACACAUGUGUUGACAAACUUAUGGAUUAUGCAGGUUCAUCCAAGUAUGUGCAAGGGAGCUUAUGUGUCCAGCUUAUCAUGAACUAUGUAACACCACAUCAGCACCAUAUCUUGAACUAUGGACCAUUAUAAAUGGAAGCAAUUAAUCCCUGCAAUUGGCUCCUAUACCAAUAUGUCUCAUAUCCAAGCAACAGUUAUUUGUUCUAGAAAAGCAUGCCUGCAACUUUGUAUCCGAAGUGGUGGCCACGAUUACGAGGGACUUUCAUAUGCAUCUGUUGUUCCAUUCAUCAUUGUUGACCUACUAAAUUUUUUAUCUAUUGACGUUGAUAUAGAAGAUAACAGUGCAUGGAUUCAAGUUGGACCAAUUCUUGGGGAUGUUUAUUAUAGAGUUGCAGAGAUUUUGUUUGUUUAUGUAUUUUUCUUUUCAUUUUUUAUGGUGGAGAAUGAUUUUUUUCUUGUGAUUUUUGUUUGUUUAUGUGUUUUUCUUUUCAUUUUUUUUUUCAUAUUUUCUCCAUAUAUGCACUUGUUAGCAGGUU
This is an RNA transcript of Nelumbo nucifera (sacred lotus), 3106 nucleotides long. It is a transcript of the gene named dihydrolipoyllysine-residue acetyltransferase component 3 of pyruvate dehydrogenase complex, mitochondrial-like, with no coding region annotated. NCBI's taxonomy places the organism in Eukaryota, Viridiplantae, Streptophyta, Magnoliopsida, Proteales, Nelumbonaceae. The record is from RefSeq and is a predicted model, not a curated record.